UGUUAGCCUACUGUUAGCUGGCAGCUGGAUUAAACAGAGUUAAACUGCUGACAGCUGAACAGUGUAACGUGUGACUGUAUUUCACUGGACAGGAUUUCAACAGCGGGAUGUUAAGCAAUCUGCAGA
Etheostoma spectabile (orangethroat darter) is the source of this 126-nucleotide long non-coding RNA. RefSeq lists it as uncharacterized. Lineage: Eukaryota; Metazoa; Chordata; Actinopteri; Perciformes; Percidae. The transcript is spliced from 3 exons. The record is from RefSeq and is a predicted model, not a curated record.